CGUAGGGUGCGAGCGUUAAUCGGAAUUACUGGGCGUAAAGCGUGCGCAGGCGGUUUAGUAAGACAGGCGUGAAAUCCCCGGGCUCAACCUGGGAACUGCGCUUGUGACUGCUAAGCUAGAGUACGGCAGAGGGGGUGGAAGUUCCACGUGUAGCAGUGAAAUGCGUAGAGAUGUGGAGGAACACCAAUGGCGAAGGCAGCCCCCUGGGUCGAUACUGACGCUCAUGCACGAAAGCGUGGGUAGCAAACAGGAUUAGAUACCCUGGUAGUCCACGCCCUAAACGAUGUCAACUAGGUGUUGGGAGGGUAAAACCUUUUAGUACCGGAGCUAACGCGUGAAGUUGACCGCCUGGGGAGUGGCGGCCGCAAGGUUA
RNAcentral lists this ribosomal RNA (373 nucleotides) under uncultured organism. Its description in RNAcentral is "bacterial SSU rRNA". It matches the Rfam family "Bacterial small subunit ribosomal RNA", at positions 526 to 896 of the family's 1533-position model. The record is from RNAcentral.